RNAcentral lists this ribosomal RNA (253 nucleotides) under uncultured bacterium. RNAcentral describes it as "partial 16S ribosomal RNA". It matches the Rfam family "Bacterial small subunit ribosomal RNA", at positions 524 to 776 of the family's 1533-position model. The record is from RNAcentral.
GACGGAGGAUGCAAGCGUUAUCCGGAAUGAUUGGGCGUAAAGCGUCCGCAGGUGGCAGUUCAAGUCUGCUGUCAAAGACCGGGGCUUAACUUCGGAAAGGCAGUGGAAACUGACGAGCUAGAGUGCAGUAGGGGUAGAGGGAAUUCCCGGUGUAGCGGUGAAAUGCGUAGAGCUCGGGAAGAACAUCGGUGGCGAGAGCGCUCUACUGGACUGCAACUGACACUCAGGGACGAAAGCUAGGGGAGCGAAUGGG